Molecule: ribosomal RNA, 497 nt
Filed under: uncultured bacterium
Lineage: Bacteria
Description: partial 16S ribosomal RNA
Rfam family: Bacterial small subunit ribosomal RNA
Source: RNAcentral
GAUGAACGCUGGCGGCGUGCCUAAUACAUGCAAGUCGAGCAAACGGACGAGAAGCUUGCUUCUCUGAUGUUAGUGGCGGACGGGUGAGUAACACGUGGAUAACCUACCUAUAAGACUGGGAUAACUUCGGGAAACCGGAGCUAAUACCGGAUAAUAUUUUGAACCGCAUGGUUCAAAAGUGAAAGACGGUCUUGCUGUCACUUAUAGAUGGAUCCGCGCUGCAUUAGCUAGUUGGUAAGGUAACGGCUUACCAAGGCAACGAUGCGUAGCCGACCUGGGAGGGUGAUCGGCCACACUGGAACGGAGACACGGUCCAGACGCCUACGGGAGGCAGCAGUAGGGAAUCUUCCGCAAUGGGCGAAAGCCUGACGGAGCAGCGCCGCGUGAGUGAUGAAGGUCUUCGGAUCGUAAAACUCUGUUAUUAGGGAAGAACAUAUGUGUAAGUAAAUGUGCACAUCUUGACGGUACCUAAUCAGAAAGCCACGGCUAACUACGUG